AUAAGGUGGCUGAGUUAUAGGCGUUAGAUUGUAAAUCUAAGUAGAGGUGUGAUCUUUCUUAUUAG
Molecule: transfer RNA, 65 nt
Filed under: Cherax robustus
Lineage: Eukaryota; Metazoa; Arthropoda; Malacostraca; Decapoda; Parastacidae
Description: tRNA-Tyr
Source: RNAcentral